GACGAACGCUGGCGGCGUGCCUUACGCAUGCAAGUCGAGCGGGGUACAGGGCUUCGGCUCUGUACCUAGCGGCAGACGGCUGAGUAACACGUAAGCAACCUGCCCUCCAGUGGGGAAUAACCCCUCGAAAGAGGGGCUAAUACCGCAUACGUUCCCGGAGGGGAGUUCUCCGGGAGGAAAGCCUUCGGGCGCUGGAGGAGGGGCUUGCGGCCUAUCAGGUAGUUGGUGGGGUAACGGCCUACCAAGCCUACGACGGGUAGCUGGUCUGAGAGGAUGAUCAGUCAGACGGGGACUGAGACACGGCCCCGACUCCUACGGGAGGCAGCAGCGAGGAAUCUUGCGCAAUGGGCGAAAGCCUGACGCAGCAACGCCGCGUGGGGGAAGAAGGCUUUCGAGUCGUAAACCCCUUUUGCAGGGGAAGAAGAUCUGACGGUACCCUGCGAAUAAGCCACGGCUAACUACGUGCCAGCAGCCGCGGUAAUACGUAGGUGGCAAGCGUUGUCCGGAUUUACUGGGCGUGAAGGGCGUGUAGGCGGUCCAUUAAGUUUGGGGUGAAAUCUCCCGGCUCAACUGGGAGCGGCCCCCGGAUACUGAUGGACUAGAGGGGGGUAGAGGAAGGCGGAAUUCCCGGAGUAGCGGUGAAAUGCGUAGAUACCGGGAGGAACACCGGUGGCGAAGGCGGCCUUCUGGGCCUACCCUGACGCUGAGGCGCGAAAGCGUGGGGAGCAAACCGGAUUAGAUACCCGGGUAGUCCACGCCCUAAACGUUGGACACUAGGUGUGGGGGGUAUCGACCCCCUCCGUGCCGCAGCUAACGCUUUAAGUGUCCCGCCUGGGAAGUACGGCCGCAAGGCUA
This 855-nucleotide ribosomal RNA is filed under the name uncultured Chloroflexota bacterium. RNAcentral's name for it is "bacterial SSU rRNA". It matches the Rfam family "Bacterial small subunit ribosomal RNA", at positions 28 to 896 of the family's 1533-position model. The record is from RNAcentral. Lineage: Bacteria; Bacillati; Chloroflexota.